GAAUAUUGGGCAAUGGGCGAAAGCCUGACCCAGCAACGCCGCGUGAAGGAUGAAGGCCUUCGUGUCGUAAACUUCUGUCGAGAGGGAAGAAUGCGUACGGGUGAACAAUCCGUGCGUUUGACUGUACCUCCAAAGGAAGCACCGGCUAACUCCGUGCCCGCAGCCGCGGUAAUACGGAGGGUGCAAGCGUUGUUCGGAUUCAUUGGGCGUAAAGCGAGUGUAGGCGGUUUGACAAGUCGGAUGUGAAAUCCCGGGGCCCAACCCCGGAACUGCAUCCGAUACUGUCUAGCCAGAGUCCCGGAGAGGGUGGCGGAAUUCCCGGUGUAGGGGUGAAAUCCGUAGAUAUCGGGAGGAACACCAGUGGCGAAGGCGGCCACCUGGACGGUGACUGACGCUGAGACUCGAAAGCGUGGGUAGCAAACAGG
Molecule: ribosomal RNA, 425 nt
Filed under: uncultured bacterium
Lineage: Bacteria
Description: bacterial SSU rRNA
Rfam family: Bacterial small subunit ribosomal RNA
Source: RNAcentral